RNAcentral lists this ribosomal RNA (253 nucleotides) under uncultured bacterium. Its description in RNAcentral is "partial 16S ribosomal RNA". It matches the Rfam family "Bacterial small subunit ribosomal RNA", at positions 524 to 776 of the family's 1533-position model. The record is from RNAcentral.
UACGAAGGGGGCUAGCGUUGCUCGGAUUGACUGGGCGUAAAGGGCGCGUAGGCGGUUCGUACAGUCAGACGUGAAAUUCCUGGGCUCAACCUGGGGGCUGCGUUUGAUACGUGCGGACUUGAGUGCGGAAGAGGGUCGUGGAAUUCCCAGUGUAGUGGUGAAAUGCGUAGAGAUCGGGAGGAACACCAGUGGCGAAGGCGGCCGGCUGGGGGUGACCUGACGCUGAGGCGCGAAAGCGUGGGGAGCGAACCGG